RNAcentral lists this long non-coding RNA (240 nucleotides) under Elaeis guineensis (African oil palm). RNAcentral's name for it is "long non-coding RNA (EGUI_LNC061462)". The record is from RNAcentral. Lineage: Eukaryota; Viridiplantae; Streptophyta; Magnoliopsida; Arecales; Arecaceae.
GUUAUGAGUAGGUCAAUAUAGAAUCGAUCACUUCUAGUAAGAGGAGAUCGUAUCCUGUGUAUUCUCAAUCAUAGAUGACUUGAAAAAAAUCUUUUGGCCAAAAGAAAAAAGGAGAUUAGAAAGAGUUUCUCUUUCUAAUACUUCUUCAUUAGAGUCAUCAUUGGUUAAUUGAGAAUUGAUAUGAAUAUGUAUUUAAGUUUGAUAUGAUUCUAUACUCAUGAACAUAUUCAAGGUGCAGGG